Molecule: ribosomal RNA, 236 nt
Filed under: uncultured bacterium
Lineage: Bacteria
Description: partial 16S ribosomal RNA
Rfam family: Bacterial small subunit ribosomal RNA
Source: RNAcentral
ACGUAAACAACCUGCCUUAAGGAUGGGGAUAACAGACGGAAACGACUGCUAAUACCGAAUACGUUCUAAGCAUCGCAUGGUGCAUAGAAGAAAGGGUGGCCUCUACAAGAAAGCUAUCGCCUUAAGAGGGGUUUGCGACUGAUUAGGUAGUUGGUGAGGUAACGGCUCACCAAGCCGACGAUCAGUAGCCGGUCUGAGAGGACGAACGGCCACACUGGAACUGAGACACGGUCCAG